RNAcentral lists this ribosomal RNA (2112 nucleotides) under Salmonella enterica. Its description in RNAcentral is "partial 23S ribosomal RNA". It matches the Rfam family "Bacterial large subunit ribosomal RNA", at positions 711 to 2803 of the family's 2925-position model. Lineage: Bacteria; Pseudomonadati; Pseudomonadota; Gammaproteobacteria; Enterobacterales; Enterobacteriaceae. The record is from RNAcentral.
AGACCCGAAACCCGGUGAUCUAGCCAUGGGCAGGUUGAAGGUUGGGUAACACUAACUGGAGGACCGAACCGACUAAUGUUGAAAAAUUAGCGGAUGACCUGUGGCUGGGGGUGAAAGGCCAAUCAAACCGGGAGAUAGCUGGUUCUCCCCGAAAGCUAUUUAGGUAGCGCCUCGUGAAUUCAUCUCCGGGGGUAGAGCACUGUUUCGGCUAGGGGGUCAUCCCGACUUACCAACCCGAUGCAAACUGCGAAUACCGGAGAAUGUUAUCACGGGAGACACACGGCGGGUGCUAACGUCCGUCGUGAAGAGGGAAACAACCCAGACCGCCAGCUAAGGUCCCAAAGUCAUGGUUAAGUGGGAAACGAUGUGGGAAGGCCCAGACAGCCAGGAUGUUGGCUUAGAAGCAGCCAUCAUUUAAAGAAAGCGUAAUAGCUCACUGGUCGAGUCGGCCUGCGCGGAAGAUGUAACGGGGCUAAACCAUGCACCGAAGCUGCGGCAGCGACACUCAGGUGUUGUUGGGUAGGGGAGCGUUCUGUAAGCCUGCGAAGGUGGCCUGUGAGGGUUGCUGGAGGUAUCAGAAGUGCGAAUGCUGACAUAAGUAACGAUAAAGCGGGUGAAAAGCCCGCUCGCCGGAAGACCAAGGGUUCCUGUCCAACGUUAAUCGGGGCAGGGUGAGUCGACCCCUAAGGCGAGGCCGAAAGGCGUAGUCGAUGGGAAACGGGUUAAUAUUCCCGUACUUGGUGUUACUGCGAAGGGGGGACGGAGAAGGCUAUGUUGGCCGGGCGACGGUUGUCCCGGUUUAAGCGUGUAGGUGUGUGUUCCAGGUAAAUCCGGUUCACUUUAACACUGAGGCGUGAUGACGAGGCACUACGGUGCUGAAGCAACAAAUGCCCUGCUUCCAGGAAAAGCCUCUAAGCAUCAGGUAACAUCAAAUCGUACCCCAAACCGACACAGGUGGUCAGGUAGAGAAUACCAAGGCGCUUGAGAGAACUCGGGUGAAGGAACUAGGCAAAAUGGUGCCGUAACUUCGGGAGAAGGCACGCUGACACGUAGGUGAAGUGAUUUACUCAUGGAGCUGAAGUCAGUCGAAGAUACCAGCUGGCUGCAACUGUUUAUUAAAAACACAGCACUGUGCAAACACGAAAGUGGACGUAUACGGUGUGACGCCUGCCCGGUGCCGGAAGGUUAAUUGAUGGGGUCAGCGCAAGCGAAGCUCCUGAUCGAAGCCCCGGUAAACGGCGGCCGUAACUAUAACGGUCCUAAGGUAGCGAAAUUCCUUGUCGGGUAAGUUCCGACCUGCACGAAUGGCGUAAUGAUGGCCAGGCUGUCUCCACCCGAGACUCAGUGAAAUUGAACUCGCUGUGAAGAUGCAGUGUACCCGCGGCAAGACGGAAAGACCCCGUGAACCUUUACUAUAGCUUGACACUGAACAUUGAGCCUUGAUGUGUAGGAUAGGUGGGAGGCUUUGAAGCGUGGACGCCAGUCUGCGUGGAGCCGACCUUGAAAUACCACCCUUUAAUGUUUGAUGUUCUAACGUGGACCCGUGAUCCGGGUUGCGGACAGUGUCUGGUGGGUAGUUUGACUGGGGCGGUCUCCUCCUAAAGAGUAACGGAGGAGCACGAAGGUUGGCUAAUCCUGGUCGGACAUCAGGAGGUUAGUGCAAUGGCAUAAGCCAGCUUGACUGCGAGCGUGACGGCGCGAGCAGGUGCGAAAGCAGGUCAUAGUGAUCCGGUGGUUCUGAAUGGAAGGGCCAUCGCUCAACGGAUAAAAGGUACUCCGGGGAUAACAGGCUGAUACCGCCCAAGAGUUCAUAUCGACGGCGGUGUUUGGCACCUCGAUGUCGGCUCAUCACAUCCUGGGGCUGAAGUAGGUCCCAAGGGUAUGGCUGUUCGCCAUUUAAAGUGGUACGCGAGCUGGGUUUAGAACGUCGUGAGACAGUUCGGUCCCUAUCUGCCGUGGGCGCUGGAGAACUGAGGGGGGCUGCUCCUAGUACGAGAGGACCGGAGUGGACGCAUCACUGGUGUUCGGGUUGUCAUGCCAAUGGCACUGCCCGGUAGCUAAAUGCGGAAGAGAUAAGUGCUGAAAGCAUCUAAGCACGAAACUUGCCCCGAG